GUGUACUGCAGCUGUUGUGCCGCUUUCCGUCGCUUGUCGGAGAGCUCAGUUCGAGCGUCCCGUUCUCGCCUCUGUGUUUCGUGAUACUCUACAACUCGCUAUCAUCAUUCUACCACGUCGGUGAGUUUCUUACAAUGAUCUCCUCUGUUUGCCCUUGUCUAGUGCCGUUCACGUUGCUUCCACAUCAAAAAUCCUCUACACAACCGCUCCAUCGCUUCUCCGCUUGACUGCUGCCUGCACGCUUGCUUCCCACAACACCACACCUCUUCUCAUGCUCUUCUCCCUCGGUCGCAUGCCCGCGCUCAGCACCGUCGCCCCAACAUCUACUACUGCGUGUCACCAUUGCCCGUCAUCCCGUUUGCCUCCUCGCUUCAUCACCCUGCAGCUCGCCAGAGUUCGCCCCGCGCCGUCAAAGUCCCACAGCUCGAUUGUGCCGAAGCAUCAAACUGUCUCGGUUCGUCUCGCCAUGUCUGGGCCCACACAGCGAGUUCACCAUCGACGACCUCGCUGGAGCCUCACCCUUGUUUUGUUCAUGCCGACGCCAAAGCCCACCCCGGUGUCCCUUCUUCGCG
Molecule: unclassified non-coding RNA, 572 nt
Filed under: Zea mays
Lineage: Eukaryota; Viridiplantae; Streptophyta; Magnoliopsida; Poales; Poaceae
Description: misc RNA Zm00001eb134230
Source: RNAcentral